Prunus dulcis (almond) is the source of this 503-nucleotide long non-coding RNA. RefSeq lists it as uncharacterized. The transcript is spliced from 2 exons. Lineage: Eukaryota; Viridiplantae; Streptophyta; Magnoliopsida; Rosales; Rosaceae. The record is from RefSeq and is a predicted model, not a curated record.
AAUUUCGAAGUGAAGCCUAUGUCUACCAUAUCGUGUAUAGCUAUGUUGAACAGGUUCAAUGUUAAGGAGGUUGGUACCCUUGAAGAGAGGAUGGUUCUUCUAGGCAUGGAUGAGGGUCUGAAAUUGCUCAAGGCAUCAUUGGAGUCUAACGCAGUUCUCACCAAUGUCUUCCUUGGGAAGAAAGAGGAGUAAACAUGUCAACUUUAAGCCUGAUCAAUUCUGGAAAUGGAAUUUUGGAGGUUGUUUGACUGUUGUGCGUCUGAGUUCGGACUAGGGAUUCAUAAAGAGUGUCUGACACUAUUAUUUUGGAGGUUUUUUGUGGUAAUCAGUCAGUUGUAAAUUGAUGAAAUCGACGUCACCAUGCUCCUUUUCAGAGGAUAGUUUCUUCUGUUAAGGUAGCUGAACCGACUUUUGCUAGAACUUUUGAGCUUGUGUGACUCCAAGAUGUUUUUGAGACUCAUGUAUUACUCUUUUGCUGUUGAAUGAAUCGUUUUCUUCAUUUU